This 611-nucleotide ribosomal RNA is filed under the name Streptomyces sp. PF1_2. Its description in RNAcentral is "bacterial SSU rRNA". It matches the Rfam family "Bacterial small subunit ribosomal RNA", at positions 55 to 685 of the family's 1533-position model. Lineage: Bacteria; Bacillati; Actinomycetota; Actinomycetes; Kitasatosporales; Streptomycetaceae. The record is from RNAcentral.
AUGCAGUCGACGAUGAAGCCUUUCGGGGUGGAUUAGUGGCGAACGGGUGAGUAACACGUGGGCAAUCUGCCCUUCACUCUGGGACAAGCCCUGGAAACGGGGUCUAAUACCGGAUAACACUCUGUCCCGCAUGGGACGGGGUUAAAAGCUCCGGCGGUGAAGGAUGAGCCCGCGGCCUAUCAGCUUGUUGGUGGGGUAAUGGCCUACCAAGGCGACGACGGGUAGCCGGCCUGAGAGGGCGACCGGCCACACUGGGACUGAGACACGGCCCAGACUCCUACGGGAGGCAGCAGUGGGGAAUAUUGCACAAUGGGCGAAAGCCUGAUGCAGCGACGCCGCGUGAGGGAUGACGGCCUUCGGGUUGUAAACCUCUUUCAGCAGGGAAGAAGCGAAAGUGACGGUACCUGCAGAAGAAGCGCCGGCUAACUACGUGCCAGCAGCCGCGGUAAUACGUAGGGCGCAAGCGUUGUCCGGAAUUAUUGGGCGUAAAGAGCUCGUAGGCGGCUUGUCACGUCGGAUGUGAAAGCCCGGGGCUUAACCCCGGGUCUGCAUUCGAUACGGGCUAGCUAGAGUGUGGUAGGGGAGAUCGGAAUUCCUGGUGUAGCGGUGAA